RNAcentral lists this ribosomal RNA (257 nucleotides) under uncultured bacterium. RNAcentral describes it as "partial 16S ribosomal RNA". It matches the Rfam family "Bacterial small subunit ribosomal RNA", at positions 524 to 778 of the family's 1533-position model. The record is from RNAcentral.
UACGUAGGGUGCAAGCGUUGUCCGGAAUUAUUGGGCGUAAAGAGCUCGUAGGCGGUUUGUUGCGUCGGCUGUGAAAUCCCGAGGCUCAACCUCGGGUCUGCAGUCGAUACGAGCAAACUAGAGUGUUGCAGGGGAGACUGGAAUCCUGGUGUAGCGGUGAAAUGCGCAGAUAUCAGGAGGAACACCGGUGGCGAAGGCGGGGUCUCUGGGCAACAACUGACGCUGGAGAACUCGAAAGCGUGGGGAGCAAACAGGAU